This 69-nucleotide transfer RNA is filed under the name Pachydactylus robertsi. RNAcentral describes it as "tRNA-Ala". Lineage: Eukaryota; Metazoa; Chordata; Lepidosauria; Squamata; Gekkonidae. The record is from RNAcentral.
AAGAUCUGCAGGACUUUCACCAACAUCGUCUAAUUGCAACUCAGAUGCUUUAAUUAAGCUAAGACCCUA